This 620-nucleotide ribosomal RNA is filed under the name Coprinellus domesticus. Its description in RNAcentral is "eukaryotic LSU rRNA". It matches the Rfam family "Eukaryotic large subunit ribosomal RNA", at positions 49 to 653 of the family's 3401-position model. The record is from RNAcentral. Lineage: Eukaryota; Fungi; Basidiomycota; Agaricomycetes; Agaricales; Psathyrellaceae.
AGCGGAGGAAAAGAAACUAACAAGGAUUCCCCUAGUAACUGCGAGUGAAGCGGGAAAAGCUCAAAUUUAAAAUCUGGCGGUCCUUGGCCGUCCGAGUUGUAAUCUAGAGAAGUGUUACCCGCGUCGGACCGUGUACAAGUCUCCUGGAAUGGAGCGUCAUAGAGGGUGAGAAUCCCGUCUUUGACACGGACUACCGAGGCUUUGUGGUGCGCUCUCAAAGAGUCGAGUUGUUUGGGAAUGCAGCUCAAAAUGGGUGGUAAAUUCCAUCUAAAGCUAAAUAUUGGCGAGAGACCGAUAGCGAACAAGUACCGUGAGGGAAAGAUGAAAAGAACUUUGGAAAGAGAGUUAAACAGUACGUGAAAUUGCUGAAAGGGAAACGCUUGAAGUCAGUCGCGUCGUCCGGGAAUCAGCCUYCCUUCUGGUUGGUGUACUUCCUGGUUGACGGGCCAGCAUCAGUUUUGACCGGUGGAAAAAGUUCGAGGGAAUGUGGCACCUCCGGGUGUGUUAUAGCCCUCGUUCGUAUACAUCGGUUGGGACUGAGGAACUCAGCACGCCGCAAGGCCGGGAUUCGUCCACGUUCGUGCUUAGGAUGCUGGCAUAAUGGCUUUAAUCGACCCGUC